Non-coding RNA from Cricetulus griseus (Chinese hamster), 885 nucleotides. The record is from Rfam. Lineage: Eukaryota; Metazoa; Chordata; Mammalia; Rodentia; Cricetidae.
UACUCCUUGAAAACCUUGUCUUGUAAUUCAAACCACUUUCCUGUGGAUCAUCAAAAUUCUUGUUUCUCUGUGUUAAGCACACAGAAUAAAAAAUCAGGAUGAUGCCCCACAACAUUUGCCUAUGUAUUAGAAAGCCAUCAUGAGGUACAUGGAAGGAAAUUGUGAUCUAUCUGGCCCUAAGGGAAGAUGGAAAAAGAGAUAAAUGGAAAUAAAAGCUGUGAGCUGUUUCUGCUCCAAACUGUAAACAUCUUUGUGGUAUUUUUGGCAGAUGGAGUGGGUCUAUUUUGUUGGUUUUUGGUACUGAAGUCAUAAUUAAGAGGGUUGCUUGGGGCAUUCAUAUUGUGCCAGUAAAUGUGAAAUUCUUGGAACGGUGCAAGACAGACCAGAGGGAAAACAUUUGCCAAGAAUAUUUUCAUUAAUCAAGAAAGUCGGAGGUUCGAAGAUAAUCAGAUAUCAUCUUAGUUCAGACCACAAACAAUGCCAACUGGAGAUGCAGUGGUGUUAUUUCCUGAUCCUCCUGGGUAGUCUGAGGCUGCAUGCACACUACACUGACUGGCUCAGCCUGUGCCUACUCUAUGCCAGCAGGAGCGAGUUACCCAUUGAUCCCCGUUCUUGAUGGGGAUCGGGAAUUGCAAUUAUUCCCCAUGAAUGAGGAAUUCCCUGUAAGUGCGGGUCAUAAGCUUGAGUUGAUUAAGUCCUUGCCCUUUGUACACACAGUGAAGCCCAAUACUAUUACCAAUUGGAUGGUUUAGUGAGGCCCUCAGAUCGGCCCUGCAGGGGUCUGCACAUGGACCUGGCUGAGAGCUAAGAAGGAAAACUUGACUAUCUAGAGGAAGUAAAAGUCCCAACAAUGUUUCCCUAGGUGAACCUGAAGAAGGAUCAUUA